This 700-nucleotide ribosomal RNA is filed under the name Micrococcus sp. N5I. RNAcentral's name for it is "bacterial SSU rRNA". It matches the Rfam family "Bacterial small subunit ribosomal RNA", at positions 125 to 839 of the family's 1533-position model. Lineage: Bacteria; Bacillati; Actinomycetota; Actinomycetes; Micrococcales; Micrococcaceae. The record is from RNAcentral.
CCUGCCCUUGACUCUGGGAUAAGCCUGGGAAACUGGGUCUAAUACCGGAUAGGAACGUCCACCGCAUGGUGGUUGUUGGAAAGAUUUAUCGGUCAUGGAUGGACUCGCGGCCUAUCAGCUUGUUGGUGAGGUAAUGGCUCACCAAGGCGACGACGGGUAGCCGGCCUGAGAGGGUGACCGGCCACACUGGGACUGAGACACGGCCCAGACUCCUACGGGAGGCAGCAGUGGGGAAUAUUGCACAAUGGGCGAAAGCCUGAUGCAGCGACGCCGCGUGAGGGAUGACGGCUUCGGGUUGUAAACCUCUUUCAGUAGGGAAGAAGCGAAAGUGACGGUACCUGCAGAAGAAGCACCGGCUAAUACGUGCCAGCAGCCGCGGUAAUACGUAGGGUGCGAGCGUUAUCCGGAAUUAUUGGGCGUAAAGAGCUCGUAGGCGGUUUGUCGCGUCUGUCGUGAAAGUCCGGGGCUUAACCCCGGAUCUGCGGUGGGUACGGGCAGACUAGAGUGCAGUAGGGGAGACUGGAAUUCCUGGUGUAGCGGUGGAAUGCGCAGAUAUCAGGAGGAACACCGAUGGCGAAGGCAGGUCUCUGGGCUGUAACUGACGCUGAGGAGCGAAAGCAUGGGGAGCGAACAGGAUUAGAUACCCUGGUAGUCCAUGCCGUAAACGUUGGGCACUAGGUGUGGGGACCAUUCCACGGUU